Molecule: ribosomal RNA, 482 nt
Filed under: uncultured bacterium
Lineage: Bacteria
Description: bacterial SSU rRNA
Rfam family: Bacterial small subunit ribosomal RNA
Source: RNAcentral
GAUGAACGCUAGCGGCAGGCUUAACACAUGCAAGUCGAGGGGUAUAGGUUUUCGGACCUAGAGACCGGCGCACGGGUGCGUAACGCGUAUGCAAUCUACCUUUCACAGAGGGAUAGCCCAGAGAAAUUUGGAUUAAUACCUCAUAGUAUUAUAGAAUGGCAUCAUUUUAUAAUUAAAGUCACAACGGUGAAAGAUGAGCAUGCGUCCCAUUAGCUAGUUGGUAUGGUAACGGCAUACCAAGGCAACGAUGGGUAGGGGUCCUGAGAGGGAGAUCCCCCACACUGGUACUGAGACACGGACCAGACUCCUACGGGAGGCAGCAGUGAGGAAUAUUGGUCAAUGGGCGCAAGCCUGACGCAGCGACGCCGCGUGGGUGAUGAAGGCCCUCGGGUUGUAAAGCCCUGUGGGGAGGGAUGAAUAAGGUAUGGCUAAUACCUAUACUGAUGACAGUACCUCCUUAGCAAGCACCGGCUAACUCUGUG